UACGUAGGGUGCGAGCGUUAAUCGGAAUUACUGGGCGUAAAGUGUGCGCAGGCGGCUGAGCAAGUCGAGUGUGAAAGCCCCGAGCUUAACUUGGGAAUUGCGCUCGAAACUACUUGGCUCGAGUGUGGCAGAGGAAGGUGGAAUUCCACGUGUAGCGGUGAAAUGCGUAGAGAUGUGGAGGAACACCGAUGGCGAAGGCAGCCCCCUGGGCCAAUACUGACGCUCAUGCACGAAAGCGUGGGGAGCAAACAGG
This 253-nucleotide ribosomal RNA is filed under the name uncultured bacterium. RNAcentral's name for it is "partial 16S ribosomal RNA". It matches the Rfam family "Bacterial small subunit ribosomal RNA", at positions 524 to 776 of the family's 1533-position model. The record is from RNAcentral.